AGCGAACGCUGGCGGCAGGCCUAACACAUGCAAGUCGAACGAACUCUUCGGAGUUAGUGGCGGACGGGUGCGUAACACGUGGUAACGUGCCUUUUGGUUCGGAAUAACUCAGGGAAACUUGUGCUAAUACCGAAUGUGCCCUUCGGGGGAAAGAUUUAUCGCCAUUAGAGCGGCCCGCGUCUGAUUAGCUAGUUGGUGAGGUAACGGCGCACCAAGGCGACGAUCAGUAGCUGGUCUGAGAGGAUGACCAGCGACACUGGGACUGAGACACGGCCCAGACUCCUACGGGAGGCAGGAGUGGGGAAUCUUGCGAAAUGGGCGAAAGGCUGACGCAGCCAUGCCGGGUGAAUGAUGAAGGUCUUAGGAUUGUAAAAUUCUUUCACCGGGGACGAUAAUGACGGUACCCGGAGAAGAAGCCCCGGCUAACUUCGUG
RNAcentral lists this ribosomal RNA (433 nucleotides) under uncultured bacterium. RNAcentral describes it as "partial 16S ribosomal RNA". It matches the Rfam family "Bacterial small subunit ribosomal RNA", at positions 29 to 507 of the family's 1533-position model. The record is from RNAcentral.